Molecule: small nuclear RNA, 107 nt
Organism: Cricetulus griseus (Chinese hamster)
Lineage: Eukaryota; Metazoa; Chordata; Mammalia; Rodentia; Cricetidae
Source: Ensembl
GUGCUCACUUCAAGUGGUGCAUACAUUAAAACUAUAAUACUCCAGAGAAGAUCAGAAUGGCUUCUCUGCAGGAUGACAUGAAAAUUCAUGAAGCAUCUUCAUUUUCC